RNAcentral lists this ribosomal RNA (515 nucleotides) under Oreina elongata elongata. RNAcentral's name for it is "partial 16S ribosomal RNA". It matches the Rfam family "Bacterial large subunit ribosomal RNA", at positions 1825 to 2606 of the family's 2925-position model. Lineage: Eukaryota; Metazoa; Arthropoda; Insecta; Coleoptera; Chrysomelidae. The record is from RNAcentral.
GUCCUUUUGUUGAUAAUUUAAGGUCUAGCCUGCCCACUGAAAUUUUAAAUGGCCGUGGUAUUUUGACCGUGCUAAGGUAGCAUAAUCAUUAGUUUUUUAAUUAAAAACUGGAAUGAAAGGUUGAAUAAGAAAAUAGCUGUCUCUGUUAAAUUUAAUUAGAAUUUUAUUUUUAAGUUAAAAAGCUUAAUUAUUGUUAAAAGACGAGAAGACCCUAUAGAGUUUAAUUAUUUAAUAAAAAUUAUAUUUUAGUAUUUAUUUAUUUAUUUUAUUAAAUAAUUUAAUUGGGGUGAUUGAAAAAUUUAAUUAACUUUUUUUAUUUAGAAACAUUAAUUUAUGAAUAAAUGAUCCAAUAUUUUUGAUUAUAAGAUAAAAUUACCUUAGGGAUAACAGCGUAAUUUUUUUAGAAAGUUCAUAUUAAAAAAAAAGAUUGCGACCUCGAUGUUGGAUUAAAAUAAAUUUUUGGUGUAGAAGCUAAAAUAUUAGGUCUGUUCGACCUUUAAAAUUUUACAUGAUCU